GGAUAACAUACCGAAAGGUAUGCUAAUACGGGAUAAUAUAUUUGAGAGGCACCUCUUGAAUAUCAAAGGUGAGCCAGUACAGGAUGGACCCGCGUCUGAUUAGCUAGUUGGUAAGGUAACGGCUUACCAAGGCGACGAUCAGUAGCCGACCUGAGAGGGUGAUCGGCCACAUUGGAACUGAGACACGGUCCAAACUCCUACGGGAGGCAGCAGUGGGGAAUAUUGUACAAUGGGCGAAAGCCUGAUGCAGCAACGCCGCGUGAGUGAUGAAGGCCUUCGGGUCGUAAAACUCUGUCCUCAAGGAAGAUAAUGACGGUACUUGAGGAGGAAGCCCCGGCUAACUACGUGCCAGCAGCCGCGGUAAUACGUAGGGGGCUAGCGUUAUCCGGAUUUACUGGGCGUAAAGGGUGCGUAGGCGGUCUUUCAAGUCAGGAGUGAAAGGCUACGGCUCAACCGUAGUAAGCUCUUGAAACUGGGAGACUUGAGUGCAGGAGAGGAGAGUGGAAUUCCUAGUGUAGCGGUGAAAUGCGUAGAUAUUAGGAGGAACACCAGUUGCGAAGGCGGCUCUCUGGACUGUAACUGACGCUGAGGCACGAAAGCGUGGGGAGCAAACAGGAUUAGAUACCCUGGUAGUCCACGCUGUAAACGAUGAGUACUAGGUGUCGGGGGUUACCCCCUUCGGUGCCGCAG
RNAcentral lists this ribosomal RNA (690 nucleotides) under uncultured bacterium. Its description in RNAcentral is "bacterial SSU rRNA". It matches the Rfam family "Bacterial small subunit ribosomal RNA", at positions 141 to 851 of the family's 1533-position model. The record is from RNAcentral.